Molecule: long non-coding RNA, 1178 nt
Organism: Cynoglossus semilaevis (tongue sole)
Lineage: Eukaryota; Metazoa; Chordata; Actinopteri; Pleuronectiformes; Cynoglossidae
Exons: 2
Source: RefSeq, a predicted model, not a curated record
ACACACGCACGCACGCACACACAGACCGUCUCUCUCUCUCUCUCACACACACACACACACACACACCAGUAGCCAUCCUUGAAAUCCAGAAACAGCCAAAAGCUUCAAGAUGUGUAAAAGAAACAAACCUCUGACCAAAACUGAUAUUGAGACAUGUGGACAGAACCAGACCUCAGUCUGCCUCCUGACUGUGGUCCCCACAGGGACACAUGUUGGCCCCUCAAAUGUGCACAACAGUUAAAAAAAGAAGAAGAAAGAAAAAUGCAGCGCAUCCAUCGACAUGUGUCGCAAUAAAACGCCCAUCCAUUAAGUUAACGCUGACGGAUAUGACACCUUCACGCUAUUUUCUUCGCGUAAGAGCAAUUUAACAUUUACAAACACAUCACAAAUUCAUCACCCACAUACCCACACGUACAUGCAUACAUACAUAUAUGCACAUUCACGGUCGUUGCAGCCUCUUUAUGCCGCUGUAUAAACACAUGUAGCCUACAUAUGAUUUAGUCCAUUUCCACCAAAGGUAUAUUUCCCAGGGAGAUCACGCGUGCUAGUGCUAGCAAAGGCACCAGGAGGUUAGAAAGCACAGAGUCGUUCUUGUUCAAUUUGGGGGGAAAGAAAAGAAAGAAAAGAAUCCAGCUUUAAAAUGUGAGCUUAUUCUUAUUUAUGUGAUUUUGUGAAAACCCGGCCCAGCUGCUGCUGAGAGCAGAGUUUACAUCCACUGCUAGUCCUGCACUCAUCACCUCCACCUGAAAUUGCCAUGGAAAAAAACACAAUCAUGAUCGACCAUGUACAUGCACAGUCAUUUGCAGCGCCAUUAUGCAGAUGGAGUCGUUAUUGAAUGACCCUUGCUUCUGCAGCCCUUCAGAUUUUUACAGCCCCUGCAGAACAAUCCGUGCACGAUUACACAUAAAGGGGUGUUUUUUUCUUCUUCGUCUAGCUAGCACUACAUUUUGGAAUUUUAUUUUUAAAAAAAAGAAAAAAGAAAGAAAGAAAAAAAAAUCACGAGUAAGAGAGAGGGAGAGAGAGGAAGAAGAGAAGUAGUCAUAGGCCUCUCUCAGUUUGUUGCUUAUACACCAAACAAAGAGUCCUGGAAGCCUGUGCGCGAUCAAUCUUACUCGCCAAAAGGUCUGACAGCUCGGUGCCCUCACAACACAUUUAAGGCUUCUAACUCUCCCUCGGAU